RNAcentral lists this ribosomal RNA (624 nucleotides) under uncultured bacterium. Its description in RNAcentral is "bacterial SSU rRNA". It matches the Rfam family "Bacterial small subunit ribosomal RNA", at positions 60 to 678 of the family's 1533-position model. The record is from RNAcentral.
AGUCGAGGGGCAGCGAGGGUAGUAAUACCUGUCGGCGACCGGCGCACGGGUGAGUAACGCGUAUGUAACCUGCCCGCAACAGUGGGAUAACCCGGCGAAAGUCGGACUAAUACCGCAUAAAACAGGGGUCCCGCAUGGGAAUAUUUGUUAAAGAUUUAUCGGUUGCGGAUGGGCAUGCGUACCAUUAGGUAGUUGGUGAGGUAACGGCUCACCAAGCCUUCGAUGGUUAGGGGUUCUGAGAGGAAGGUCCCCCACACUGGUACUGAGACACGGACCAGACUCCUACGGGAGGCAGCAGUGAGGAAUAUUGGUCAAUGGGCGAGAGCCUGAACCAGCCAAGUCGCGUGAAGGAUGACUGCCCUAUGGGUUGUAAACUUCUUUUACAAGGGAAUAAAAUGAGAUACGUGUAUUUUAUUGCAUGUACCUUGGGAAUAAGCAUCGGCUAACUCCGUGCCAGCAGCCGCGGUAAUACGGAGGAUGCGAGCGUUAUCCGGAUUUAUUGGGUUUAAAGGGUGCGUAGGUGGGCUGUUAAGUCAGCGGUGAAAGUUUGUCGCUUAACGAUAAAAUUGCCGUUGAAACUGGUAGUCUUGAGUAUAGAUGAAGUAGGCGGAAUGCGUGGUGUAG